AAGUCGUAACAAGGUAUCUGUAGGUGAACCUGCAGAUGGAUCAUCACUGAUUCUUUAACCUGGCGAAGAGCGCAAGCUUUUCUGCCACAAGAUGUGGCUCCGCAUCUUUAAAUAUUGGGCUACCACUUUACACACGGUUGCAUAGGUCGGUGCUUCGGCAUCGAUUCACACACACACACACGCUGAACAGUAGUUACAUGAAUGAAUCAUGACCAUGUGGUCAUUUAACAAAUAAACAACUUUUGGCAACGGAUCUCUUGGUUCUCC
This 267-nucleotide unclassified non-coding RNA is filed under the name Farysizyma sp. Its description in RNAcentral is "partial internal transcribed spacer region". The stretch from base 1 to 46 matches the Rfam family "Eukaryotic small subunit ribosomal RNA", at positions 1786 to 1831 of the family's 1831-position model. The record is from RNAcentral. Lineage: Eukaryota; Fungi; Basidiomycota; Ustilaginomycetes; Ustilaginales; Ustilaginaceae.